CCUACGGGAGGCAGCAGUGAGGAAUAUUGGUCAAUGGACGAGAGUCUGAACCAGCCAAGUAGCGUGAAGGAUGACUGCCCUAUGGGUUGUAAACUUCUUUUAUAAAGGAAUAAAACGAGGCACGUGUGCCUUUUUGCAUGUACUUUAUGAAUAAGGAUCGGCUAACUCCGUGCCAGCAGCCGCGGUAAUACGGAGGAUCCGAGCGUUAUCCGGAUUUAUUGGGUUUAAAGGGAGCGUAGAUGGGUUGUUAAGUCAGUUGUGAAAGUUUGCGGCUCAACCGUAAAAUUGCAGUUGAUACGGGCUGUCUUGAGUACCGUUGAGGUAAGCGGCAUUCGUGGUGUAGCGGUGAAAUGCUUAGAUAUCACGAAGAACCCCGAUUGCGAAGGCAGCUUACUAAACUGUGACUGACAUUGAUGCUCGAAAGUGUGGGUAUCAAACAGGAUUAGAUACCCGAGUAGUC
Molecule: ribosomal RNA, 460 nt
Filed under: uncultured bacterium
Lineage: Bacteria
Description: partial 16S ribosomal RNA
Rfam family: Bacterial small subunit ribosomal RNA
Source: RNAcentral